GGCCGGCCUGGCCAAGGGCGUGGACGACGUGGUGUACGUCAAGAUCGGUACGGGGAUCGGCGCCGGUCUGAUCUCCGGCGGCCGGCUGC
RNAcentral lists this transfer RNA (89 nucleotides) under Planosporangium mesophilum. Its description in RNAcentral is "tRNA-His". The record is from RNAcentral. Lineage: Bacteria; Bacillati; Actinomycetota; Actinomycetes; Micromonosporales; Micromonosporaceae.